This 484-nucleotide ribosomal RNA is filed under the name uncultured bacterium. RNAcentral's name for it is "partial 16S ribosomal RNA". It matches the Rfam family "Bacterial small subunit ribosomal RNA", at positions 30 to 507 of the family's 1533-position model. The record is from RNAcentral.
AUUGAACGCUGGCGGCAGGCCUAACACAUGCCAGUCGAGCGGAUGAAGGGAGCUUGCUCCUGGCUUCAGCGGAGGACGGGUGAGUAAUGCCUAGGAAUCUGCCUGGGAGUGGGGGAUAACGUCCGGAAACGGGCGCUAAUACCGCAUACGUCCUGAGGGAGAGAGUGGGGGAUCUUCGGACCUCACGCUAUCAGAUGAGCCUAGGUCGGAUUAGCUAGUUGGUGGGGUAAAGGCCUACCAAGGCGACGAUCCGUAACUGGUCUGAGAGGAUGAUCAGUCACACUGGAACUGAGACACGGCCCAGACUCCUACGGGAGGCAGCAGUGGGGAAUAUUGGACAAUGGGCGAAAGCCUGAUCCAGCCAUGCCGCGUGUGUGAAGAAGGUCUUCGGAUUGUAAAGCACUUUAAGUUGGGAGGAAGGGCAGUAAGUUAAUACCUUGCUGUUUUGACGUUACCAACAGAAUAAGCACCGGCUAACUUCGUG